UCAGUUGUAGUCUAGAAAGAGAAGCUGCUUAGGUUCACUUACAUUUUUGUUAACUUUCCUUGAUGAGAUGACUCUUUCCUUGAGUGACUAAGCUAAUCUAUUUUUGUUGUGCCAACUUAUUUUAUACUAUUUUCUUUUUUUUAUAACUAAAGAUCCUUUGGCUAUAGAACUGGACUGAAAAUAAACCAAUAGAAAAAUUGAAACUGUGUCCCAAAUUCACACAUUAUAUACUUCUGUGUUUUACAAAGAAGGUUGAAGUUUUCAGCUCUGCGAGAGAAAGGUAGGGGUGCUGGCCUCAUA
Molecule: long non-coding RNA, 300 nt
Filed under: Bos taurus (domestic cattle)
Lineage: Eukaryota; Metazoa; Chordata; Mammalia; Artiodactyla; Bovidae
Description: long non-coding RNA NONBTAT011708
Source: RNAcentral